GUGCCAGCAGCCGCGGUAAUACCGGCAGCCCGAGUGAUGACCGAUCUUAUUGGGCCUAAAGCGUCCGUAGCUGGCUACGCAAGUCCGUCGGGAAAUCCAUCAGCCCAACUGAUGGGCGUCCGGCGGAAACUGCACAGCUUGGGACCGGAAGGCUCGAAGGGUACGUUCGGGGUAGGAGUGAAAUCCCAUAAUCCCGCACGGACCACCGAUGGCGAAAGCACUUCGAGAAAACGGAUCCGACAGUGAGGGACGAAAGCCAGGGUCUCCAACCGGAUUAGAAACCCCGGUAGUCC
RNAcentral lists this ribosomal RNA (293 nucleotides) under uncultured bacterium. RNAcentral describes it as "partial 16S ribosomal RNA". It matches the Rfam family "Archaeal small subunit ribosomal RNA", at positions 455 to 747 of the family's 1478-position model. The record is from RNAcentral.